AGUGACACUGUUCAACGGCCGCGGUAUCCUAACCGUGCGAAGGUAGCGUAAUCACUUGUCCUUUAAAUGGGGACUAGUAUGAAUGGCACCACGAGGGUUAUACUGUCUCCUUUUUCCAGUCAGUGAAACUAAUCUCCCCGUGAAGAAGCGRGGAUACACCUAUUAGACGAGAAGACCCUAUGGAGCUUUAAACGAAACAACAUUUGCUUUAACACACACUGAUCUCAGGAAAUCAACCCUAUUUAGCAUUAUAACUGUUAGUUUUAGGUUGGKGWGACCGCGGAGAAAAAAAUAACCUCCACGAUKMAUAGGRGCCUCCCCUAAGCWAAAAGCCACAACUUCAUGCAUCAACAAAUUGACAUCAAUUGACCCAAUAUUUUGAUCAACGGAACARGUUACCCUAGGGAUAACAGCGCAAUCCACUUCGAGAGCMCGUAUCGACMAGUGGRUUUACGACCUCGAUSUUGGAUCAGGGUACCCCAGUGGUGCAGCCGCUACUWAA
This 502-nucleotide ribosomal RNA is filed under the name Gastrotheca marsupiata (common marsupial frog). RNAcentral describes it as "partial small subunit ribosomal RNA". It matches the Rfam family "Bacterial large subunit ribosomal RNA", at positions 1913 to 2569 of the family's 2925-position model. The record is from RNAcentral. Lineage: Eukaryota; Metazoa; Chordata; Amphibia; Anura; Hemiphractidae.